Molecule: ribosomal RNA, 468 nt
Filed under: uncultured bacterium
Lineage: Bacteria
Description: partial 16S ribosomal RNA
Rfam family: Bacterial small subunit ribosomal RNA
Source: RNAcentral
GACGAACGCUGGCGGCGUGCUUAACACAUGCAAGUCGAACGGAAAGGCCCUGCUUUUGUGGGGUGCCCGAGUGGCGAACGGGUGAGUAACACGUGAGUAACCUGCCCUUGACUUUGGGAUAACUUCAGGAAACUGGGGCUAAUACCGGAUAGGAGCUCCUGCUGCAUGGUGGGGGUUGGAAAGUUUCGGCGGUUGGGGAUGGACUCGCGGCUUAUCAGCUUGUUGGUGGGGUAGUGGCUUACCAAGGCUUUGGCGGGUAGCCGGCCUGAGAGGGUGACCGGCCACAUUGGGACUGAGAUACGGCCCAGACUCCUACGGGAGGCAGCAGUGGGGAAUAUUGCACAAUGGGCGGAAGCCUGAUGCAGCAACGCCGCGUGCGGGAUGACGGCCUUCGGGUUGUAAACCGCUUUCGCCUGUGACGAAGCGUGAGUGACGGUAAUGGGUAAAGAAGCACCGGCUAACUACGUG